UACGUAGGGGGCUAGCGUUGUCCGGAAUCAUUGGGCGUAAAGCGCGCGUAGGCGGCCCGGUAAGUCCGCUGUAAAAGUCCAGGGCUCAACCCUGGAAAGCCGGUGGAUACUGUCGGGCUCGAGUCCGGAAGAGGCGAGUGGAAUUCCUGGUGUAGCGGUGAAAUGCGUAGAUAUCGAGAGGAACACCUGCGGCGAAGGCGGGUUGCUGGGCUGACACUGACGCUGAUGCGCGAAAGCCAGGGGAGCGAACGGG
This 253-nucleotide ribosomal RNA is filed under the name uncultured bacterium. RNAcentral describes it as "partial 16S ribosomal RNA". It matches the Rfam family "Bacterial small subunit ribosomal RNA", at positions 524 to 776 of the family's 1533-position model. The record is from RNAcentral.